CUAAUAGGAUUGUAUAAACUUAAUCCCAUUCUAAUAGGAAUGUAUAAACCUCUUCCUAUUCUAAUAGGAUUGUAUAUACCUAUUACUAUUCUAACACAUCUGAAUGAGGUGCAUUGCUGUUUAGAGUUUUCAAAACAUGGUUUGACUUUUGAAUCUCGUCCGAAGAAAAUUAAGUUGUAUCAUGUUUUAGAUCUGUUUGUUGUGGGAGUAUAAAUUACUUGGUGAUGGUAUAUCUGAGUUUGAGUUAUAGUUUGUGGAAUCCUAUUUCAAUUGUCAAUAACACAUACAUCUUGGUGUACGAAUUUGUCACCGCUCCUCAAACCUGUUUACAUAGGACAGUUAACUUGCUAACAAGGGGUCAGAUCAUGGUCAAGCAUUAGGUAUUGGUUUUGAGAGAUAUCAGUAACGAGUUAGAUUUGAGGUUAUCUGAAGAUAUGAACUGGGAAGUUUUUUGACCAAGUUUAGUUUGUGUAGUGAUUAGGGAUAGAUGUACAUGAUGCUAGAUGGAAGACUCUGAGGUGCAAUUGCAGAAAUUUAGAAAAACCUAUGACGAAUAAAGAGAGGAAACUAGGGGACAAAACCUUGUCUUCAAGUUAGACCGAUCACAAGUUGUCAACAUGUGAAAUGGCAUGAUUUGAGAAGGAUUCAAGUAUAGUUGUAUAGAUAAACUAUACUAGAUGCAAGUGGCCUUGUUGCAAUGAUCUUAGGCAUGAGAUUCUCACUUUUCCUCAAGAGGAUUUCAUGUUGGUUUAUAAAAAUGUGUAGAUCUGUCAAUGGCUGUUGAGAACUGAUUGGAACGUAAUCCGGUGCACCAAUCUCCAAACUGUUCCAGUUGGAUAUGCUAAAUCAUUAUCUCCGAGAAUGCUAUCUCAUGUCAUAAUAUGAGAAUAAGUUUUUUUGACGGGUGUCGUUUUUGUCCCUUUUGUUUUAUUUUUUUACUUGGGAGUAGAGGGAGAUGUGACUUUUUGGUACUGCAGGUUCCUAACCAUACUGCAGUUUAGUGGUAACUGUCCUUUGACCUACACAACUCUCUGUGGACUGCAUUUUACCGAGCUGGAUGAUUGGUUGAUUCUAAGUUUUAGAUAUUUUUUUCUGGCUGGGGAAGAAAGCAGAGACUUUACAUGGUUUAUUCAUAUAUGCAUAUUUUGAGUCAAUAUGAUCUUCGUGUGUUUGUUGCUCAAGUGUUACAGCACAUCUCAGUGCAUGAUAUAAACCACUGUGCAUUAUGAUUGUUUAUUGAUGAUCAAGUUUCUUAUGUAUAGAUUGAAGCUACAGCCAUGCCUGAAGAAUAUCGUUAUGAGGUUCCAAUUCUGUGCAAUGACUGCAAUAGUACUGGUAAAGCAUUUUUUCACAUACUUGGGCACAAAUGCAAGCAUUGUAAUUCAUACAACACCCGCAUGAUUGGUACUUGCGAAGAUCCCCAAUGACAUACAUGCUCAGCUUGAUUCAAGUGGUGUUUUUUCUCACAUUAGGCGUUCUUGUUCCUUUUUGAUUUGUUUCUUCUAGCAACCAGUGUUACUGUACAAAGAAAUCUGGGAUAGUCCUUGGAUAAAACCUCUCCAUUUUUUCUGUUGCAUAUUGAAAACUUUCAGAAAGAGUAAAAAGAAUUGGCUCCACUCCGACUCUCAGAUUAAGAAAAUGAUGAAUAACAUUGAAGGGAACAAGGUUUCUCUUUAGUA
This is a long non-coding RNA of Solanum tuberosum (potato), 1679 nucleotides long. RefSeq lists it as uncharacterized. NCBI's taxonomy places the organism in Eukaryota, Viridiplantae, Streptophyta, Magnoliopsida, Solanales, Solanaceae. The transcript has 2 exons. The record is from RefSeq and is a predicted model, not a curated record.